UGCCCGAGUAGCACGGGGCCCGAGGAAUCCCGUGUGAAUCUGCCAGGACCACCUGGUAAGCCUGAAUACUACCUGUUGACCGAUAGCGGAUCAGUACCGUGAGGGAAUGGUGAAAAGUACCCCGGGAGGGGAGUGAAAGAGUUCCUGAAACCAUGCGCUUACAAUCCGUCAGAGCAUGUUUUUGUGUGUGAUGGCGUGCCUUUUGAAGAAUGAGCCUGCGAGUCAGCGGCAUGUCGCGAGGUUAACCCGUUUGUGUGGGGUAGUCGUAGCGAAAGCGAAUCCGAAUAGGGUGGCAAGUGGCAUGUCCUGGACCCGAAGCGGGGUGAUCUACCCAUGGCCAGUGUGAAGCAGCUGUAAGAGGUUGUGGAGGCGCGAACCCACGUAGGUUAAAAACUGCGGGGAUGAGCUGUGGGUAGGGGUGAAAGGCCAA
This 430-nucleotide ribosomal RNA is filed under the name Leptocylindrus danicus. RNAcentral's name for it is "partial Bacterial large subunit ribosomal RNA". It matches the Rfam family "Bacterial large subunit ribosomal RNA", at positions 405 to 832 of the family's 2925-position model. The record is from RNAcentral. Lineage: Eukaryota; Bacillariophyta; Leptocylindrophyceae; Leptocylindrales; Leptocylindraceae.